CCUAUGAUCUACAGUGCCCAUUCCAACUCAGAGAAUCUUUACAUCUGGAGAUCUAUAGCAGGGCUAUCCCUAGUGACAUGCGUGAAGAAGCUUGGAAAUGGUGCUGGGUAGGAGCUGAGUGUGCAGAAUGUGGAAAGGCAUUCUAAACCAAAGGAAGAACACGAGUAAAGAUGAUGAAGCAGGGAUAAGGCUAAAAUGAAAUUUGUGAUCUGAUCCACAUACAAGCACAGUGUAGUACAGCUGGAAUAUAGAGAAGAGCUUGAAGACUUAUGAGCAACUAUCCCGGUACUCUUGGAGGCUCUGCAACCACAGUUUGAGAAACUCCGCGUUCAAAGUUAAAAACUGUCACCUGAAUAGUUAAUAACAUCAAAGAUUGUGAAAGCAAGUAUAAAUAACACAGAGAUUAAAAUAAUGAGGCAGGAUCAGAAAGGGUUAUGGUGGCCAUCCAGACAUAAAGAAAUUAGAACGUUCAUUCAUCUGCAGAUGCUCACACAUUCCUACAGGAUGACUGAAACCCACAGCAAACAAUCCUCAUGAAAUACAGCUCAGCUCAUCCUGAAGAAUAAGUGGGAGGUCAGCCUCACGGGAAAUUCGAUAUCUCCACAUGCAGCUGUCAUGCCACAUGGAAACAGUCAUGCAUAGGGUCCUGUCACCUGGUAGACUGACCCCAGGUCCACUGACCCCUGACAAUCAUCAACCGCUUCUGAGGGCUCCAUGAUUGAGAUUUGUCCCCAGGAACUCAGGGGAAACUAUAUAUUGAUUAAAAUGAACUAUCAAA
RNAcentral lists this long non-coding RNA (778 nucleotides) under Homo sapiens (human). RNAcentral describes it as "long intergenic non-protein coding RNA 2028". Lineage: Eukaryota; Metazoa; Chordata; Mammalia; Primates; Hominidae. The record is from RNAcentral.